GAUGAAGAACGCAGCAAAAUGCGAUAAGUAAUGUGAAUUGCAGAAUUCAGUGAAUCAUCGAAUCUUUGAACGCACAUUGCGCCCGCUGGUAUUCCGGCGGGCAUGCCUGUUCGAGCGUCAUUUCAACCCUCAAGCCCCCGGGUUUGGUGUUGGGGAUCGGCUCUGCCCUUCUGGGCGGUGCCGCCCCCGAAAUACAUUGGCGGUCUCGCUGCAGCCUCCAUUGCGUAGUAGCUAACACCUCGCGACUGGAACGCGGCGCGGCCAUGCCGUAAAACCCCAACUUCUGAAUGUUGACCUCGGAUCAGGUAGGAAUACCCGCUGAACUUAAGCAUAUCAAUAAGCGGAGGA
This 348-nucleotide unclassified non-coding RNA is filed under the name soil metagenome. RNAcentral describes it as "partial contains 5.8S ribosomal RNA, internal transcribed spacer 2, and large subunit ribosomal RNA". The stretch from base 1 to 120 matches the Rfam family "5.8S ribosomal RNA", at positions 35 to 154 of the family's 154-position model. The record is from RNAcentral.